Molecule: ribosomal RNA, 314 nt
Filed under: Serbiona mehadiensis
Lineage: Eukaryota; Metazoa; Annelida; Clitellata; Crassiclitellata; Lumbricidae
Description: partial 12S ribosomal RNA
Rfam family: Bacterial small subunit ribosomal RNA
Source: RNAcentral
UAUUUUACCUUUUCUAGAUAUUCAGCUUGUGUACUGCCGUCGUAAGCAUACCUCUAAAAGUAUUAAGUAUGCAACUAUGGCUAACACCCAUUUACGUCAGGUCAAAGUGCAGCUAAUGAAAAGGAGAUGAUGGGUUACAACCUAAAUAAAGAUACAAAUUAGAACAUUAGAAGUUCUCUGAAGGUGGACUUGGCUGUAAUAUUAAUUCAAAGUUAAAAUGAAAAUGAAUCUAAGACAUGCACACAUCGCCCGUCACUCUCGCCCAAAGGCGAGAUAAGUCGUAACAAAGUAGGUGUAACGGAAGUUGCACCUGU